This 292-nucleotide ribosomal RNA is filed under the name uncultured bacterium. RNAcentral describes it as "partial 16S ribosomal RNA". The record is from RNAcentral.
GGACUACAAGGGUUUCUAAUCCUGUUUGCUCCCCUUGCUUUCGCGCUUUAGCGUCAGGUAUAAGCUAGAAAACCGCCUUCGCCACUGGUGUUCUUCCACAUAUCUACGCAUUUCACCGCUACUUGUGGAAUUCCGUUUUCUCCGCCUACCCUCUAGAAAUGCAGUUUCAAAUGCUGUUCCGGGGUUGAGCCCCGGGAUUUCACAUCUGACUUACAUUCCCGCCUACGCGCCCUUUACGCCCAAUAAAUCCGAUUAAUGCUCGCACCCUACGUAUUACCGCGGCUGCUGGCAC